RNAcentral lists this long non-coding RNA (958 nucleotides) under Bemisia tabaci. RNAcentral describes it as "lncRNA ENSSSA3NGG012955". The record is from RNAcentral. Lineage: Eukaryota; Metazoa; Arthropoda; Insecta; Hemiptera; Aleyrodidae.
AGAUUGUCUAAGGACACAAGUUUGAUUUUUUUGAGGUAAGUUCUUUCACCUCCUCUUAAUUUUUGUCGAUAAAGUCUACCUGAUCUGUAUGAUAGCCAUGUGCAUGGCUCAUGCACCAAUUGUAAAAAUAAAAAUAGACAAACACUUUGCGGAAACGCAAUCAUAGAGAAAACCUAUGUUUUUAAUGUAAAGAACUAGAAAUAGGAAAGUCUGUUUUUUAAACACAACUGCAACAUUAUAUAGUUAAUGUUAUCGAUGAAUGAGACUAAAAAAUUAUGUCAACUUGGAGUUUUUGUCUGACAAUUUUUUUUUCAUCCACUUAUUGACGCCGUUAUUGAUGUAAAAACAAUCUCUUACCUACGUAUCAGGAAGAGUGCUCGGUAAUCUGCUUGUUUUAAACUCUGGACAGGGCAAAGUGGACCUUAUACAUUUUUUAUUUUGGCUUAGUUUAAGAGUUGGCUUUGUAAGAAAAUGGGAAAGUCCCUGCAUUGUAAAAAAAUUCUUCUCUUUCAGGUUUCAAGUUCGUUCUCCUACAUUUUUCCAAAAAUGUCGUGACCAGCAGUGGUACAUCCAGCAGCUUUUGGCUAUAAAAAGUAUGCAAGCUCAGCAAAUAAAUGAACUGAAAGCUCGUUUGGUGAUGGACUCUUCCCGUAACAUGAUGAAUGCUGUAAAAGGUAGCUCUUCAAAUUCUACAAGCAACAAUAAUAACUACAUUGUGACCAGCGAGGCUGGAUUGGACUCUCCAUCUGGCUCCGCCUACUCAGUACGCCUAGCAGAACCUCCAGUUUCGUCUCCUAGAUCAUGCGAGACUGCUCAAGUCACUUCCAAAACAUCAACAAAACCAGCAUCUUGGGAAAAUGACAGUAUCGUACCAAUUCUGAAUGCCUGCGCCCCCCUCAAAAGUCCUACGAAAAUUCGACCUCUCACUGCCUCUGUCUCAUCACCAGAACUUUUAUAA